Molecule: ribosomal RNA, 468 nt
Filed under: Escherichia coli
Lineage: Bacteria; Pseudomonadati; Pseudomonadota; Gammaproteobacteria; Enterobacterales; Enterobacteriaceae
Description: partial 23S ribosomal RNA
Rfam family: Bacterial large subunit ribosomal RNA
Source: RNAcentral
GACUGCGUACCUUUUGUAUAAUGGGUCAGCGACUUAUAUUCUGUAGCAAGGUUAACCGAAUAGGGGAGCCGAAGGGAAACCGAGUCUUAACUGGGCGUUAAGUUGCAGGGUAUAGACCCGAAACCCGGUGAUCUAGCCAUGGGCAGGUUGAAGGUUGGGUAACACUAACUGGAGGACCGAACCGACUAAUGUUGAAAAAUUAGCGGAUGACUUGUGGCUGGGGGUGAAAGGCCAAUCAAACCGGGAGAUAGCUGGUUCUCCCCGAAAGCUAUUUAGGUAGCGCCUCGUGAAUUCAUCUCCGGGGGUAGAGCACUGUUUCGGCAAGGGGGUCAUCCCGACUUACCAACCCGAUGCAAACUGCGAAUACCGGAGAAUGUUAUCACGGGAGACACACGGCGGGUGCUAACGUCCGUCGUGAAGAGGGAAACAACCCAGACCGCCAGCUAAGGUCCCAAAGUCAUGGUUAAG